Molecule: long non-coding RNA, 292 nt
Filed under: Hordeum vulgare
Lineage: Eukaryota; Viridiplantae; Streptophyta; Magnoliopsida; Poales; Poaceae
Description: long non-coding RNA (HVUL_LNC004213)
Source: RNAcentral
CUAGGCUAUAUGGGGGGGGGCCUCGACGUCCGUGAGCCCUCACGGCUACUCGCUCUCUCUCGGUAGUCUGACGAAAAGCGAGAGCAGGGGGAAACGGCGUCAGGAAGAAGGAGUAGCGCACAAGGUGGGCUGCUGUGCCAGACAGAAAGGGGGAAUGGGUCUGCUAGUGGGAGGGAGCCCACUAGUGGCGCCAGAUAAGAGGAAAGAAAAACCUGGGGCUUGCUAUUAAAUAAAACAAGACCAGGAAAAGAAACAAAAGCACAGGCUAAACUAUAGAUGCUAAAAAUAAAAC